This 439-nucleotide ribosomal RNA is filed under the name uncultured bacterium. Its description in RNAcentral is "partial 16S ribosomal RNA". It matches the Rfam family "Bacterial small subunit ribosomal RNA", at positions 338 to 795 of the family's 1533-position model. The record is from RNAcentral.
CCUACGGGAGGCAGCAGUGGGGGAUAUUGCACAAUGGAGGAAACUCUGAUGCAGCGACGCCGCGUGAGGGAAUAAGGUCUUCGGAUUGUAAACCUCUGUCAUUGGGGAAGAAAAUGACGGUACCCAAAGAGGAAGCUCCGGCUAACUACGUGCCAGCGGCCGCGGUAAUACGUAGGGAGCGAGCGUUGUCCGGAAUUACUGGGGGUAAAGGGAGCGUAGGCGGGAGAGAAAGUUGGAGGUAAAAUCUAGCGGCCUAACUGGUGGCUGCUUUGAAAACUUCUUGUCUGGAGUGAAUGAGGGGCAGGCGGAAUUCCUAGUGUAGCGGUGAAAUGCGUAGAUAUCAGGAGGAACACCAGUGGCGAAGGCGGCCUGCUGGACUUUAACUGACGCUGAGGCUCGAAAGCGUGGGGAGCAAACAGGAUUAGAUACCCUAGUAGUC